GUACGUAGGGGGCGAGCGUUGUCCGGAAUGACUGGGCGUAAAGGGUACGUAGGCGGCCAGAUAAGUCAGAUGUGAAAGGCAUGGGCUUAACCCGUGUUAGCAUUUGAAACUGUGUGGCUUGAGUUAAGGAGAGGAAAGUGGAAUUCCUGGUGUAGCGGUGAAAUGCGUAGAUAUCAGGAGGAAUACCAGUGGCGAAGGCGACUUUCUGGACUUAACCUGACGCUGAGGUACGAAAGCGUGGGGAGCAAACAGGAUUAGAUACCCUGGUAGUCCACGCCGUAAACGAUGAGUGCUAGGUGUCGGGGGUCGAACCUCGGUGCCGGAGCUAACGCAUUAAGCACUCCGCCUGGGGAGUACGUUCGCAAGAAUGAA
RNAcentral lists this ribosomal RNA (372 nucleotides) under uncultured bacterium. Its description in RNAcentral is "bacterial SSU rRNA". It matches the Rfam family "Bacterial small subunit ribosomal RNA", at positions 523 to 898 of the family's 1533-position model. The record is from RNAcentral.